This 207-nucleotide ribosomal RNA is filed under the name uncultured bacterium. RNAcentral's name for it is "partial 16S ribosomal RNA". It matches the Rfam family "Bacterial small subunit ribosomal RNA", at positions 568 to 774 of the family's 1533-position model. The record is from RNAcentral.
CGCGUAGGCGGCUUUGUAAGUCAGAGGUGAAAUCCCGGGGCUCAACCCCGGAACUGCCUUUGAAACUACAUCGCUAGAGUCUUGGAGAGGUGAGUGGAAUUCCGAGUGUAGAGGUGGAAUUCGUAGAUAUUCGGAAGAACACCAGUGGCGAAGGCGACUCACUGGACAAGUACUGACGCUGAGGUGCGAAAGCGUGGGGAGCAAACA